Molecule: small RNA, 661 nt
Filed under: Pan troglodytes (chimpanzee)
Lineage: Eukaryota; Metazoa; Chordata; Mammalia; Primates; Hominidae
Description: retained intron
Source: RNAcentral
UUCGAGACCAGCCUGGCCAACAUGGUGAAACCCCAUCUCUACCAAAAAUACAAAAAUCAGCCGGGCAUGGUGGCUGGCACCUGUAAUCCCAGCUAUCUGGGAGGCUAAGGUGGGAGAAUUGCUUGAACCUGGGAGGUGGAGGUUGCAGUGAGCCAAGAUCACACCACUGCACUCCAGCCUGGGUGACAGAGCAAGACUCCGUCUCAAAAACCAAAAACAAGAAACAAAAAAGAAGUGCCACAGCUUGGGGUAGGAACUGACUGCAUUUUGGGAGGUGGGGUGGUUGUGACCAGCAGUGCUUGACAAGGGAUAUGCAGGGUCCUUAUGUUCAGGGACUGGGAUACCCUGAGGGAAGAAGGACUUCCCGGGAUGAGCUGGGCGGAAUUUGGGGGGCCGCCCUCCCAGCUGACCGCGGUGUCGGUGCCUCCAGGGGUGUGUGGAAUGUACCAUACAUCUCCCAGGCCUAUGUGAUCCGGGGUGAUACCCUGCGGAUGGAGCUGCCCCAGAGGGACGUGUUCUCGGGCAGUGACACAGACCCGGACAUGGCCUUCUGUAAGAGCUUUCGAGACAAGGGCAUCUUCCUCCAUCUGAGCAAUCAGCAUGAAUUUGGCCGGCUCCUGGCCACUUCCCGAUACGACACGGAGCACCUGCACCCCGACCU